GUUUCCAUAGUGUAGUGGUUAGCCCGUCUGCUUUACAAGCAGAAGGUCCUGGGUUCAUGCUCUGGUGGAGGAA
Molecule: transfer RNA, 73 nt
Filed under: Pteropus alecto (black flying fox)
Lineage: Eukaryota; Metazoa; Chordata; Mammalia; Chiroptera; Pteropodidae
Rfam family: tRNA
About the family: Transfer RNA (tRNA) molecules are approximately 80 nucleotides in length. Their secondary structure includes four short double-helical elements and three loops (D, anti-codon, and T loops). Further hydrogen bonds mediate the characteristic L-shaped molecular structure. tRNAs have two regions of fundamental functional importance: the anti-codon, which is responsible for specific mRNA codon recognition, and the 3' end, to which the tRNAs corresponding amino acid is attached (by aminoacyl-tRNA synthetases). tRNAs cope with the degeneracy of the genetic code in two manners: having more than one tRNA (with a specific anti-codon) for a particular amino acid; and 'wobble' base-pairing, i.e. permitting non-standard base-pairing at the 3rd anti-codon position.
Source: Rfam by way of RNAcentral